UACGUAGGGAGCAAGCGUUGUCCGGAUUCACUGGGUGUAAAGGGUGCGCAGGCGGGAAAGUAAGUCAGAGGUGAAAUCUCACAGCUUAACUGUGAAACUGCCUUUGAUACUGCUUUUCUUGAGUUCGGGAGAGGUUGAUGGAAUUCCAGGUGUAGCGGUGAAAUGCGUAGAUAUCUGGAAGAACACCAGUGGCGAAGGCGGUCAACUGGCCCGUAACUGACGCUCAGGCACGAAAGCGUGGGUAGCGAACAGG
This 253-nucleotide ribosomal RNA is filed under the name uncultured bacterium. Its description in RNAcentral is "partial 16S ribosomal RNA". It matches the Rfam family "Bacterial small subunit ribosomal RNA", at positions 524 to 776 of the family's 1533-position model. The record is from RNAcentral.